This 251-nucleotide ribosomal RNA is filed under the name uncultured prokaryote. RNAcentral's name for it is "partial 16S ribosomal RNA". It matches the Rfam family "Bacterial small subunit ribosomal RNA", at positions 525 to 775 of the family's 1533-position model. The record is from RNAcentral.
ACGUAGGGUCCGAGCGUUGUCCGGAAUUACUGGGCGUAAAGCGCGCGCAGGCGGUCUGGUCAGUCGAUGGUGAAAGCCCCACGCUCAACGUGGGAAGGUCCGUCGAGACGGCCAGACUGGAGGCAGGGAGAGGUCGGUGGAAUUCCGGGUGUAGUGGUGAAAUGCGUAGAGAUCCGGAGGAACCCCGGUGGCGAAGGCGACUUGCUGGGCCUGAACUGACGCUCAGACGCGAAAGCAUGGGGAGCGAGCGG